AUGAAAGCGGGUACCUGUGCCAGAUGAAAGGUUUGACUUUUUUUGCCGGUACCACACACCAGCAAGCAAAAUUCCUGCCUUUCUAAAUGUAGUGGAUAUUGCUGGCCUUGUGAAAGGAGCUUCACAAUGGUCAAGCCUUGGGAAAUGCCUUUUUAUCUUGUAUCAGUGCCUGUGAUGGAAUCUUUCAUCUAACACGUGCUUUUGAAGAUGAUGAUAUCACGUAUGUUGAAGGAAGUGUAGAUCCUAUUCGAGAUAUAGAAAUAAUACACGAAGAACUUCAGCUUAAAGAUGAGGAAAUGAUUGGGCCCAUUAUAGAUAAACUAGAAAAAGUGGUUGUGAGAGGAGGAGAUAAAAAAUUAAAACCUGAAUAUGAUAUAAUGUGCAAAGUCAAAUCCUGGGUUAUAGAUCAGAAGAAACCUGUUCGCUUCUAUCAUGAUUGGAACGACAAAGAGAUUGAAGUGUUGAAUAAACACUUAUUUCUGACUUCAAAACCAAUGUCUACUUGGUUAAUCUUUCUGGAAAAAAACUACAUUAGAAAGAAAAACAAAUGGUUGAUAAAAAUUAAAGAGUGGGUGGACAAGUAUGACCCAGGUGCCUUGGUCAUUCCUUUUAGUGGGGCCUUGGAACCCAAGUUGCAAGAAUUGAGUGCUGAGGAGAGACAGAAGUAUCUGGAAGUGAACAUGACACAAAGCGCUUUGCCAACCAUCAUUAAAGCUGGGUUUGCAGCACUCCAACUAGAACACUGCAGGCCCAGAUGGAGUACAUGCAUGGACCAUCAGGAAAGGGACAAAGGCUCCUCAAGUUGCAGGAAAGAUUCACACAGAUUUUGAAAAAGGAUUCAUUAUGGCUGAAGUAAUGAAAUAUGAAGAUUUUAAAGAGGAAGGUUCUGAAAAUGCGGUCAAGGCUGCUGGAAAGUACAGACAACAAGGCAGAAAUUAUAUUGUUGAAGAUGGAGAUAUUAUCUUCUUCAAAUUUAAUACAACUCAGCAACUGAAGAAGAAAUAAAUUUUAGUUACUAUUCAGAUAAAUGUACAACUUCCAAAAAUGGAUAUGAUUUUUUUAAAUCAACAUUUCUGAAAACUGAGGGGAAAAUAAAGUUGGGGAAUGGGAAUCUUCUAAAAACAGAAUUAUUUUUGUUUUAAAAUUAAAAUACUGUGUACCGCCAGUGAAAUGCAAGUUCACUGAAUGUGAACAGCUUGCUUUUCACGUGAUUAAGACCCUACUCCAAAUUGUAGAUGCUUUUCAGGAACCAUAUUACUCUCAUGAUACUUCAUUAAUCUCCAUCAUGUAUUCCAAGCCUGACACAUUUUGACAGUGAGGACAAUGU
This is an RNA transcript of Zalophus californianus (California sea lion), 1327 nucleotides long. It is a transcript of the gene named obg-like ATPase 1, with no coding region annotated. NCBI's taxonomy places the organism in Eukaryota, Metazoa, Chordata, Mammalia, Carnivora, Otariidae. The record is from RefSeq and is a predicted model, not a curated record. The transcript has a single exon.